GUCGAGGGGAAUACUCGCCUCAAUGAGCGGCAGCCUGAUGCAGGCAUGACGCGUGUGUGAUGACGUCGUCGGGUGUAAAGCACUUUAUUCGAGGACGAAAGGCUGUUGAGCAUAAUAGCCUCACCCUGAUUGACGUUUCCCCGCAGAAGAAGCACCGGUCUUACUCCGUGUCCAGCAGCCGCGGUAAUCCGGAGGCGUGCAAGCGUUAAUCGGAAUUAUUGGGGCGUAAAAGCGCACGCAGGCGGUCUGUCAAGUUGGGAUGUGAAAUGCCCCGGGGCCCAACCGGGGAACUCCAUUCAGAAACUGGCAGGGCUAGAGUCUGUAGAGGGGGGGUAGAAUUCCAGGCGUAGCGGUGAAAUGCGUAGAGAUCUGGAGGAAUACCGGUGGCGAAGGCGGCCCCCUGGACAAAGCCUGACGCUCAGGUGCGAAAGCGUGGGGAGCAAACAGGAUUACAUUCCCUGGUAGUCCUCGCCGUAAACGAUGUCGAUUUGGAGGUUGUGCCCUUGAGGCGUGGCUUCCGGAGCUAACGCGUUAAAUCCACCGCCUGGGGAGUACGCCCGCAAGGUUAAAACUCAAAUGAAUUGACGGGGGCCCGCCCCAGCGGUGGAGCAUGUGGUUUAAUUCGAUGCAACGCGAAGACCCUUACCUGGUCUUGACAUCCACAGAACUUUCCAGAGAUGGAUUGGUGCCUUCGGGAACUGUGAGACAGGUGCUGCAUGGCCGUCGUCACCUCGYGUUGUGAAAUGUUGGGUUAAGUCCCGCAACGAGCGCAACCCUUAUCCUUUGUUGCCAGCGGUUAGGCCGGGCCCUCAAAGGAGACUGCCAGUGAUAACCUGGAGGAAGGUGGGGAUGACGUCAAGUCAUCAUGGCCCUUACGACCAGGGCUACACACGUGCUACAAUGGCAUAUACAAAGAGAAGCGACCUCGCGAGAGCAAGCGGACCUCAUAAAGUAUGUCGUAGUCCGGAUUGGAGUCUGCAACUCGACUCCAUGAAGUCGGAAUCGCUAGUAAUCGUAGAUCAGAAUGCUACGGUGAAUACGUUCCCGGCCCUUGUACACACCGCCCGUCACCCCAUGGGAGUGGGUUGCAAAAGAAGUAGGUAGCUUAACCUUCGGGAGGGCGCUACUCAUCGUCGAC
Molecule: ribosomal RNA, 1138 nt
Filed under: Klebsiella sp.
Lineage: Bacteria; Pseudomonadati; Pseudomonadota; Gammaproteobacteria; Enterobacterales; Enterobacteriaceae
Description: bacterial SSU rRNA
Source: RNAcentral